This is a non-coding RNA of Corchorus olitorius, 196 nucleotides long. The record is from Rfam. NCBI's taxonomy places the organism in Eukaryota, Viridiplantae, Streptophyta, Magnoliopsida, Malvales, Malvaceae.
AUACCUUUCUCGGCCUUUUGGCUAAGAUCAAGUGUAGUAUCUGUUCUUAUCAGUUUAAUAUCUGAUACGUGGGCCAUUGGCCCACAUGAUAUUAAAUUUAUUUUUUUAGGGGGAGGGCCCACCACAGUAGCUUGCUACUGGGGCUCUCGCGCGUCGCCCAAGCGUUGCACUACAGCUCGGGCCUGGCGCACCCCAC